This 493-nucleotide ribosomal RNA is filed under the name uncultured bacterium. RNAcentral's name for it is "bacterial SSU rRNA". It matches the Rfam family "Bacterial small subunit ribosomal RNA", at positions 1013 to 1505 of the family's 1533-position model. The record is from RNAcentral.
CUUCAGUUAGGCNGGCUUCCACACAGGUGCUGCAUGGCUGUCGUCAGCUCGUGUCGUGAGAAGUUGGGUUAAGUCCCGCAACGAGCGCAACCCUAGCCUUCAGUUGCCAUCACUUCUAGGUGGGCACUCUGAAGGAACUGCCGGUGACAAGCCGGAGGAAGGUGGGGAUGACGUCAAGUCCUCAUGGCCCUUACGGGCUGGGCUACACACGUGNUACAAUGGCGACUACAAUGGGAAGCGAAGGAGCGAUCCGGAGCCAAUCCACAAAAGUCGUCUCAGUUCGGAUUGCAGUCUGCAACUCGGCUGCAUGAAGUCGGAAUCGCUAGUAAUCGUGGAUCAGCACGCCACGGUGAAUACGUUCCCGGGCCUUGUACACACCGCCCGUCACACCAUGGGAGUUGGUUCUACCUUAAGCCGGCGCGCCGACCGCAAGGGGGCAGCCGACCACGGUAGGGUCAGCGACUGGGGUGAAGUCGUAACAAGGUAGCCGUAA